RNAcentral lists this non-coding RNA (174 nucleotides) under human gut metagenome. RNAcentral's name for it is "Lysine riboswitch". It matches the Rfam family "Lysine riboswitch aptamer". From Rfam's summary of the family: Riboswitches are metabolite binding domains within certain messenger RNAs that serve as precision sensors for their corresponding targets. The record is from RNAcentral.
UAAGUAGAGGUCGCGCCUGACAUGAGUAGACCGGCAGAUAAAGGGAAAUGGCUGUCGGAGAAAAGGGGAGGGCGCCGAAGAGACAGGAAAAUAAGUCCCUAGGGUUCCCGUUUCUGGGCAUGCGGUGAAGAAUCGUAUGACUGUCAUCUUUAGAAAAAGAUGGAGGGCUGCUUA